GGUGCGAGCGUUAAUCGGAAUACUGGGCGUAAAGCGUGCGCAGGCGGCUUUGCAAGACAGAGGUGAAAUCCCCGGGCUCAACCUGGGAACUGCCUUUGUGACUGCAAGGCUAGAGUACGGCAGAGGGGGAUGGAAUUCCGCGUGUAGCAGUGAAAUGCGUAGAUAUGCGGAGGAACACCGAUGGCGAAGGCAAUCCCCUGGGCCUGUACUGACGCUCAUGCACGAAAGCGUGGGGAGCAAACAGGAUUAGAUACCCUGGUAGUCAAGGGCG
RNAcentral lists this ribosomal RNA (271 nucleotides) under uncultured Burkholderiales bacterium. Its description in RNAcentral is "partial 16S ribosomal RNA". It matches the Rfam family "Bacterial small subunit ribosomal RNA", at positions 531 to 802 of the family's 1533-position model. Lineage: Bacteria; Pseudomonadati; Pseudomonadota; Betaproteobacteria; Burkholderiales. The record is from RNAcentral.